This 822-nucleotide long non-coding RNA is filed under the name Ananas comosus (pineapple). RNAcentral describes it as "long non-coding RNA (ACOM_LNC004083)". Lineage: Eukaryota; Viridiplantae; Streptophyta; Magnoliopsida; Poales; Bromeliaceae. The record is from RNAcentral.
AUCUAUGGUACCGGAACUCCGGUACUAUAGUCUUAUUUUCGAUUUUAAGGUGUUCAAAUUAACGAUCCACACUAUUAAAUAUGAUUUACUGUAUAUAAAGUUCUUAGGAAUAAAAUUUUAAUUUUUUUCAACAUCAUUUACUUAGUAAAUAAAUUAUGUCAAAAUGGGCGGUGAAAAUUGAAUAAUCUUUAAAAUUUGAAGAUAGGACUUUUAAUUCAAGAUCAAGAAUGUUAACCUUAAUCUAGAUAGUUUAAAGUAUUUUCUAUCAAAUUUUGAAGAAAUUUAAAUUCUUCUACACCGUUAAACUCCAAACUCACCAUAGUAGCCAUUGAAAAUUGACAACCUUGAAAUGGUUUCAUCAUAAAGUAAACUAUGUCAAAAAAAUAUAAAAUUUUAUUUCUGAAAACUUUAAAUAUCUUAGAUCAGUUUUAACAGUGUGGAUCAUUGAUUUGAACACUCUAAAAUCGAAAACAAGACUAUAGUACCGAAGCUCCGAUACUAUAGAUAGUAUAGGAGACUAGCUCUAUAUAUAUAUAUAUAUAUAUAUAUAGGCUGGUAUACUAUCGGAUGUACGGAGGCCUUCGUGCUACCAAGUUAUAUUUAAUGAUGCGGCUUUCAAAUCGACGAUCGACUCCGUUAGACUCGAUCUACACUAUUGAAAGUAUUUGGAAACUAAAUUUCAUAAUUUUUCGGCAUCAUUUGGCUGGUGACCAAAAGGUCUCAAAAUUGACAAUUUCAAGAAUAGAUGUGAUGCAUUUGUGAAUUUAACGGUGUAAAAUAAUUCAAAUCUGCUUAAAUUUUAUAUAUGUUUUUAAACUCCCA